GGGCAAAGGUCUGACCCAAUGUAAAAGAAGCCAAAAAUCCGGCCAGGAUUGGUCUAUCAAAGAAAUUUCAAAAGUAGAUGAUUCAGCGCGUAAUACUAAUAGAUGAUUCCGCGCGUAAUACUAAAAUACUCAAAAUAUGCUAAUUUCACAGGGCUAUAUUUUCCGUAUUUUACAACCAAAUUUGGCCAUUCCAAGAUGUAUUACAGGUUGGUGGGAAUACAAUUGAUAAAAAUUUAGUCUAUGGCUGAAAUCGUCUGUUAACAAUAUCCGAUUUAAUAUAAUAAUAUUAAAAAUCUCACAAUUGUAAAACUACGCACAAUACUCGACUUUUUAAUGGGUAAUGGCAUUGGAACUCAAGUCUGUUUGGAUAGAAAGAACUCGUUAAACUGUAAAACAAGUUAUUGGACAACUUUUCUUUAACUUUUGUCGUUCUUGGGAUAUUUUAGUUUAUUUGAUAUGCAAUCAUAUACGUCACAUGCUGGCAAAAUAUUUUCGAAGAUCGCAUCCGCAAUGGAUCGCACAUGCCAAAGUCCAUACAGCUUACCAAUCAAAAUAGAUGAAAUCAUCAAAAAAUAAACUGGAAUAUCUUCUACUCCUAGCCAGAAAAAUGAAAAACAAUUUUAAUCAAGGCUUCGAUUUAGGAGUUCUUUCACACAAGUAGUAUGUUUACAUACUUAAAUUUUUGUGGCUAAACAACUACAUGAAAAAUACAACUAUAUGAAAAAUAUAAACAGAACUUCGACGUUUCCAGCGAGACCCUUCGUCGAGAAGUUAGUUGGGAGGGCUGGCCGUAGGCACGUCAAAUGCUCGAAGCAAGUUACUUGCAGGUUCAUUUUCCAAAACUUUUAGAAACAGAAGAUUAAAAUAGACUUAUCUUUAACUCCACGCAGACAUGAUAAAGACCUUUAGUCACUAUUGAUUGUAGUAAAUUUUAUUGGAGAAAAUACACGAGGUCGUGAAGGACUGAGCCGGGCCUGCCAACUAUAGAAAUUCGUGGCCCAUCACGGCAUCACGUCCUGAUUUCGCUUUUUUAUGCAGACUACAGGCUCCGAUUAAAAAUAGAUUUCGUGGGGCCUUGGCUUGCAACUUUGAAGUUCAAGAUAAUAUUUUUCAGGUAUAUAUAUAUAUAUAUAUAUAUAUAUAUAUACCUGAUAUUUCAGGUAUAUAUAUAUAUAUAUAUAUAUAUAUAUAUAUAUAUAUAUAUAUAUAUAUAUAUAUAUAUAUAUAUAUAUA
Molecule: non-coding RNA, 1233 nt
Organism: Paramuricea clavata
Lineage: Eukaryota; Metazoa; Cnidaria; Anthozoa; Malacalcyonacea; Plexauridae
Source: the annotation of a GenBank genome assembly